GUCAUGAUAUAUAUACAGUAGGCAUAUGCAAAGAAUCGCACCAUCCGGUUAAAGUGUAAGAGAAGAAUUAAAAACGUAUCACUCCACGGUAGAAAAGUUCAUCGACCAUUUUUUUACAGAACCAGAAUACAUAUAAAUUCUAAAGCAAAAUGUAAUCCUUCACACUAGAACGUCGCGUCGCUAGACUUUUGUUUAUUGAUU
This 201-nucleotide long non-coding RNA is filed under the name Brassica napus (rape). RNAcentral describes it as "long non-coding RNA (BNAP_LNC000238)". The record is from RNAcentral. Lineage: Eukaryota; Viridiplantae; Streptophyta; Magnoliopsida; Brassicales; Brassicaceae.